RNAcentral lists this long non-coding RNA (204 nucleotides) under Brassica rapa (field mustard). Its description in RNAcentral is "long non-coding RNA (BRAP_LNC000514)". The record is from RNAcentral. Lineage: Eukaryota; Viridiplantae; Streptophyta; Magnoliopsida; Brassicales; Brassicaceae.
UCGGAGGAAGAGGAUGGUGGUGACAAUAACGAGCCAGACGAAGAGGAUGGUGGUGACAAUAACGAGCCAGACGAAGAGGAUGGUAGUGACAAUGAUGUUGAAGACGCCAUUCUCGAUAUUUCAAAGGAUGUGCAGAGGGAAUAUGGUGAUGUUGACAUGGAUGAUGAUGAUGCGGAGAUGUAUGCACAUGCUGUGGAGGCCGAG